ACUCCCUAUUGUGUUUGUAUGUGUAUGCGUUUCCUGCGUCAGCGUGUCCUCUGUACUGUAUUUUCGAAAUGAUUUCGUUCGAAGAUAGUGUUGUGGACGAGCGAAAGGCUGAAGUAUUUGAAAUUCUCCCGCAGUGGAAAACACGUGUGUUGGAGCUGCACAGAAAUGAUUGUAAUGUGCAAGAAAUUUAAUCUUUAAACAUCCUUGUUUAUGUUAAAACAAGGGACGAGUUUGGACAGUGGUUGGCACAGUUUGAAAACAUAACAAAAACAACUUAUACAAUAAGGUGCACUGAACCUGCAUCAGGAAAGUAUGUUGUUUUCAAACAAAGGCUGGUCUGUCACCACAAUACUCGCAGUAUAAAAGUUCAUGGUUCAGUGCAAAGGGCAACAAAAAACACUAACUGUCCAUCAAAAAUGACAGUGACAAUUCAUGCUGUGCAUGAUAGAUACAGAGGUAAGUCUGUAGAGAAAGCAAUGCCCUACAAGGAAAUGCCGUGUGAGGUUAACUUGGUGUUGGGUCAUAACCACAGUGUUGAGAGUGCUGCUGCUUUAAGAUUUAGGCAACCAUCAAGUGAUGUCAAAGAAAAAUUAAUAUCCCUGUUUGAAAGAGGUCAUUCACCAGCCACUGCUCUUGAGUCAAUAAAGGUUGAAAUUCAGCUGAAUUGUUCAGAUUACCCUUUAGUCCUUGCAGACAGAAGCAGGUGUCCUGAUUACAACUUUUGCCACUAUUUGCUCAACAAAGUUUUUAAGAAAAAGUAUGGGCCAACAGACUUCAACAAAGAAGGAAAGCAGCUGUUACAACAGAGGUUAGAGGAAUACAACAGCGAAGUUGGAGCUGUGUGUGCCAAGAUGAUUCAGAAAGAUGAUGAUUAUAUAGUAUGCAUUUGCUCACCACUGAUGCAAAAAGUCCAUACUCAUGUAAAAGCUGCUUCCAAACUUGUAUUUAUGGAUUCCACUGGUUCUCUGGAUCAUGAUAGCAGCAGAGUGUUCGUUUUACUUACUCACAGUGAGUGUGGACGUUUACCACUAGGAGUUCUGAUUAUGUCUUCAGAAAGCUGCGGAGUUAUAGAAAUGGGACUAGAGUUGCUGAAAGAGAUAGUGGGGGAAAAUAUUUUUGGGGGAAACAUCAAUGGCCCAAGUGUGUUUCUGACUGACGACAGCCAGUCAGAACAAAAUGCAAUUAGAAGGUGCUUCCCAAACACAAAAACUUUGUUGUGUAUAUUCCAUGUCCUGCAGGCAGUGUGGCGCUGGCUUCUCAAAGCAAAAAAUGCUAUACCACAGCAAAAACAGUGUGAGUUCUUCCAGAAUUUCAUAAAAAAUAAUGUUUGCGCAAACAAAAAAUGAAGCAGUGGUAAACUAUAAUGUAACAAGAGCGAACAUCGGUGAAAAUCAUCAAAAUUUAUUGAAAUACUUGGAAGGGUAUUGGGAUAGGAGAGAACUGUGGACCCUUUCAUAUCGGCGAGGUAUGCUUAUUGAAGGGCACAACACAAUAUAAGUGAGGCCUUCAUGAGAAUUUUAAAGGACAGGAUUUUUGAGAGGGUGCGUGCCUUUAAUGUGGUUCAGAUGGUGGACUUUUUUCUCACACAGGUGAAUUUGUAUUUUCAGAGGAGACUUCUUGAUGCUGCUAAUGGAGCAAGUCCUAAGUCUUUCUGUAGGCCUAUAAAGGCUCCUUCACAGGAGAUUCUAGCAAAAAUCAGACAAGUCAAUGAGGAUGUUCUGCUCGUUCCCAGUGAAGAAAGGGAGAAUUAUUAUUACAUUGUUAAUAUGGCUUUUCUUGUUUGCACUUGUUGCCAAGGCAAUACAGGGAAGAUCUGCAAACAUAUAGACUGGGGCAGUACUGUUUUACCAUCAGGAAACUACAGGGAGGUGACUGAUAGUGACAGUAUACGCAGACUGUAUUAUUUUAUUGCUACAAAUGAGGAGCCUCCUGAAGGGUGGCUAGAGCCUCUGUAUUGCUCUCAGAAUGCAGGGGCUUCAAGUUCUUCGGAACGUUUGGAGCAAAUGGACACAGGUUUGCUCUGUGAAAGCCAAGAAGAGAUGCCAGAGACACUUCACAUGGAGACAGUUCCAGACAAUAGAAAUAAUAAUUUAAUCGACGAGAUAAAAGCUCGUCUCAUAGAUUUUUCAAAUAAAUCCCCUGAGGAAAUGAGGAAAGGCCUUGAAGUCAUGUGCGAAAAAUUGAGAAAGCUUCAAACGCCAUCUGCAUGUGCAUCUUAUUUGGCAAAUUUUGGUGAAGGGAAGUAAAACAUACUUUUAUAUAGAUGUUAUGGCAAGUAAUUCAAUAUUGUAUGAAUUCUAAUUUUUGUUACAGGAAAAUCUAGAAAAAAUCGUGGUAACUAUAUUCCCGUUCAGCCCACUGCAAUAAGCAGAAGAAAAAACAAGUUGGCAGGUCCCAGAUGUCAUCCGGGGGGAAGACAAAGACCACACUCUAAGCAAAGCAAGGAAUUUGUAAAGACAGUAGAAAUUUCUAAAGUCAUGUAUGGCAUUUUGAAAUUUAUCUAGCAACUUUCCUUUCCCCAAAGGGCGUAUUAAGGAAUAAAGCUACCUUUCCAUCACCAGCUACGCAAUCAUCCCAGUCAGCUUCAGGCUUUUGAAGGUGCGCGACUGUUUACUGCAGCAUAGUGUGUAGGAUUUUCUUAAUCUGAGAUCCAACGUAAUGGAACUAUUAAGGGAAUGAUUGUAGUAAUUAAGUUUUUUCUUAAAGCUCAGGCCUAGCCUGACUGCUGAAGUAUAUUAAGUUUUUUUGUUGUAGCUCUGGUCUGACCCGAUUAUUCCUGGUGGGGUCAGGGAUUUUCUCUGCCUCGUGAUGACUGGGUGUUGUGUGAUGUCCUUAGGUUAGUUAGGUUUAAUUAGUUCUAAGUUCUAGGGGACUGAUGACCAUAGAUGUUAAGUCCCAUAGUGCUCAGAGCCAUUUUCUAACCCGAUUAUUGAAAUAAGUUGUUUCUUAAAGCUCAGACCAAACUUACUAUUGAAAUAUAGAAGUUCUUCUUUAAAUUGGGAUAUCCCAACAAUGUGGAUACUUAUUGUGUAUGUUGCACAAGUUUCUGGGAAAUGUGAAUUAUCUUUUCUUAAAAUGUAAACUAUAUUUUAUAUUCUGCAUAUGACUUUUUUUAUUUACAUCUGUUCCUUCAGGUUACAUGUAGCUUAUUUAAUUUGUCAUAUUAUGUCUGCUUUCUGAAGUACUUCUG
This is an RNA transcript of Schistocerca americana (American grasshopper), 3190 nucleotides long. RefSeq lists it as uncharacterized. The transcript has 4 exons. NCBI's taxonomy places the organism in Eukaryota, Metazoa, Arthropoda, Insecta, Orthoptera, Acrididae. The record is from RefSeq and is a predicted model, not a curated record.